RNAcentral lists this ribosomal RNA (208 nucleotides) under uncultured bacterium. RNAcentral's name for it is "partial 16S ribosomal RNA". It matches the Rfam family "Bacterial small subunit ribosomal RNA", at positions 524 to 729 of the family's 1533-position model. The record is from RNAcentral.
UACGGGGGGAGCAAGCGUUGUUCGGAUUUACUGGGCGUAAAGGGCGCGUAGGCGGCCACCGCAAGUCGACUGUGAAAUCUCCGGGCUUAACCCGGAAGGUCAGCCGAUACUGCGGGGCUAGAGUGCAGAAGGGGCAACUGGAAUUCUCGGUGUAGCGGUGGAAAUGCGUAGAUAUCGAGAGGAACACCUGCGGCGAAGGCGGGGUUGC